This 253-nucleotide ribosomal RNA is filed under the name uncultured bacterium. Its description in RNAcentral is "partial 16S ribosomal RNA". It matches the Rfam family "Bacterial small subunit ribosomal RNA", at positions 524 to 776 of the family's 1533-position model. The record is from RNAcentral.
UACGUAGGGUGCAAGCGUUAUCCGGAAUUAUUGGGCGUAAAGAGCUCGUAGGCGGUUUGUCGCGUCUGCUGUGAAAACCCGAGGCUCAACCUCGGGCCUGCAGUGGGUACGGGCAGACUAGAGUGCGGUAGGGGAGAUUGGAAUUCCUGGUGUAGCGGUGGAAUGCGCAGAUAUCAGGAGGAACACCGAUGGCGAAGGCAGAUCUCUGGCCCGAUACUGACGCUGAGGCACGAAAGCGUGGGGAGCAAACAGG